UAAGACGAACCGUGCGAACGUUGUUCGGAAUCACUGGGCUUAAAGGGCGCGUAGGCGGGUCAGCCAGUCCGGGGUGAAAUCCUUCGGCUUAACCGGAGAACUGCCUCGGAGACGACUGAUCUGGAGGGAGGUAGGGGUCGCUGGAACUUCCGGUGGAGCGGUGAAAUGCGUUGAUAUCGGAAGGAACGCCGGUGGCGAAAGCGAGCGACUGGACCUUUACUGACGCUGAGGCGCGAAAGCUAGGGGAGCAAACGGG
Molecule: ribosomal RNA, 256 nt
Filed under: uncultured prokaryote
Description: partial 16S ribosomal RNA
Rfam family: Bacterial small subunit ribosomal RNA
Source: RNAcentral